GUGCCAGCAGCCGCGGUAAGACGAAGGUGGCAAGCGUUGUUCGGAUUCACUGGGCAUAAAGGGCGCGUAGGCGGUUCGGUAAGCGGCGUGUGAAAGCCCCUGGCUCAACCAGGGAAGUGCACGCCGGACUGCCGUUCUAGAGGGUGGUAGGGGGGACUGGAACUCUCGGUGGAGCGGUGAAAUGCGUAGAUAUCGAGAGGAACACCGGUGGCGAAGGCGAGUCCCUGGUCCACUUCUGACGCUGAGGCGCGAAAGCGUGGGUAGCAAACAGGAUUAGAUACCCGGGUAGUCC
This 292-nucleotide ribosomal RNA is filed under the name uncultured bacterium. RNAcentral describes it as "partial 16S ribosomal RNA". It matches the Rfam family "Bacterial small subunit ribosomal RNA", at positions 505 to 796 of the family's 1533-position model. The record is from RNAcentral.